RNAcentral lists this long non-coding RNA (5724 nucleotides) under Sus scrofa (pig). RNAcentral's name for it is "lncRNA (ENSSSCG00065074390.1)". The record is from RNAcentral. Lineage: Eukaryota; Metazoa; Chordata; Mammalia; Artiodactyla; Suidae.
AUCUGGACCCAGUUAGUGAUGAGGCUUGCAGCCGUAGCUGCUAAAGGCAGAGAACAGAGUUUCAGGACGAACAGCAACAAGGAAGCAGCACUGGCCGUUUGCCCUUUUCUGGUCUGUAAUCUGGGUUGCUGCUGGAUGUGCUGGGCUCCUCUUGUUGCUCUACUCAUCCCCCAGCCCUUGGUUCCCUGUCCGCCUACCUCUCCAUCUUCCACACCUACCCGUCAUGUUCGUUUUUCACCGCCCAGCUCACACAUCAUCUCCCUGGGAACUCCCCCCCACUCCUCAACCCCCCACCUGCUUCUGCCACUAUGCGUUCCUCACUUCUCCGUGUUUCCGCAGCCCUUGGUUCUUCAUAAUUUGGUGAUUCUCUGCAUCCUGGUUUUGCGCAUCAGCCGUGAUGCCUGAAAGGAUGGCUGAGUUUUCACGUUUUCCACAGAUGCAGGUGUAUAAUAAUGAGCAGUAAAUGUCACAUCAAGGGAUGCUCCCAUUUGGAGGGCAGCAGUGAUGGCGUCUUCCCACUGCUGUCUUCCCCUUGGUGCCCAGAAAAUUGUAGGUGCUUAUUAAUCGUUCUUGGUAAAUCCACCUGUACACCCGCGUUUGGGGGCAAAAAAAGAGAAAAGAGAUAAACAAGCAGAUUGAAAGGGUUUGAUUAAAACGUAGGGGGUGAACUAGGACGGUGUGUGGAUUGGAAUCCACAUUUCAGGAGGUUUCCUGAAGGAGGAGAGGAGGUGCAGGGAGACAAGGACUGAGAAGCAGCCCUUGGAUUCGCACAACGCACCUGUUUGAAGGCGCUUUGAACGCGCUGUCUUGGACGAGAAGGGAGGACCAGGUUCAGAGUGGCCUGAGGACUGAGCGGGGUAGGGAGGUGGAGACGGUACCUGCUGAGGUUUGGCUGCGACAGGAAAAUGCCGGGGAGGGGGAAACGGAAUGGGUAUGUUAAGAGGAUCACGUGUAAGCAUAUUUCUAGGCUGAGAGGAAAGAUCUAGAAAGAACAAAUGAUUAUCCCUAUGUAACAGACCUACACUAAUGAGCUAGAAGAGGUAUAUUUUCGAAGUUCUUUUAAACAUUUCCUUUGUAACUGUAGUUUUUAUCUCCCAGUUCCUAGUUCUAUGUCACUAGACACUUGUAUCCUGGAACUUAGCAUCCUCGUUUCUCACAUGAGAUAACAAGGUCUUAUCCAAAGGCUUUGGAGAGAGUUAGACAAGAUAAUGAAUGCGAAACAUCUAAGGUGCUGGUUGGCAUGGGGGAGGGUGUAACAAAAACUUGUGGUCUUUCCCCUUAUCACACUUUCUCUUUGCAAGCAGUACAGGGGUCCAUUAGGACCUGAUCUACAGUCCAACUUCCAUAAAGUUGCAGAUAGAAGGGUGUGGCUGAAACUGAAUUGCCUGGAUUUGAGUUAGAGAUUUUCAGCUUUGAUGUGGGUAUCCAACCUGGUAACCGUCGUUCAGAUCACGCGUGGGUCUGGAGGGUUAUCUGUAUUAAUGCCCCAGCUAUUUCCCUAAUCAGAAUAAAGAAUCUAGGAGGAGGGUGUGCUUAUUAUACAAAAUUAACUGUUUAUACUUACCCCGAAGUUCAUGAGGAUCUAGAAUUAGUAGCCAGUUGCUGGACCAAAGAAGUUAAAAUACUGUUAUCACUUAACUACAAGGAGUUUGGUGAAGGACCUAUGGGGUCUAUCUCUUUCUAUCAAUGGUGAAUUACAUCCAGAAUCUAGUGGCUUUUCCCAAAAAUUAUAUUGCUAUGUAUUCAUAGAGCCCAUGCCUUUUCCAGAGCUUUCUGUACUUUCCAAAGAAUUAAAUUUUUUUUUAGUUGUCACCAGGUAGAGAAAUAGCAAUUAUGACCCAAUAUUGGCAGAUACAAAAUGAGGUAGACACUCAAUGUCACUCAAGAAACUGAUACUCAUAUGAGAUGGGGCUUCUCUGGAGGGCUGAUGCUUGAUCAGAUAUAAUCCAAGGAGAUUUCGGCAUUGCUAAGUCCCAGAAAGACUAGACGUUUUAGAGUUUCACAUUUCUUGUUGCUGUUGUUGCACUUCCACCUCUGCCACUUGUUAGCUAUGUGACUUUGAGCAAAUCACUUAACCUCUCUCUACAUCAGCUUCCUUACGUGUGGAAGAGAGCUUCAUUUAUUGGAUAAUUACGAGGACUAAAUGAGAUGAUGCACGUCCAGGUUCUAGUUUAGGGCUUUGCUCCUGGUGGACACAUUUCAGAACACGGUCCUUUCCUUUAGCAAACAGCUGGAUAAACCAAGCACGAGGUAAACGUUAGUGUCCUGUGCAGGAUGCACCAAGGAUGCUUUUCUUCCUGACGAAAUUCUUUACAUGGUGAUGGAAUGAUUUGCUUCAUAGACACUGUGAUUCUUAAUUCUUUGGGAGUGGAGGUCAGUUCUCUUGUCUGAUAUAACUUUGACAAGCCAGUAAGCAGUCACUUUAGGAGCAGGGACAGAAUAAGUGUCACGAAUAACAACUGGCAGGACUUUCUCAACAUAUUGAGGCUCUGUGGUUUGCAGGAAUAAGACCGAGAAAUAACUGGUCAGAAAUGUGACUUCCAGAUAGAGUGGCCAUGCAGUUCUCUCCAGCUUGGUCAUUGAGAUGAUACAAUGUUGUCCUCACAUUUGGAAUCGUCCAGAUCAGCUGGAUGAGCAGGACUAAGGCCAUUGCCCAGUCUUCGACUCUUGAGAGGCUGAAAUGCCAAUAGCAUGAGACGGUCUGAGAUCUUAGCUGUAAAAUGGCCAUCUUGUGAGAAAAAAGAACCAAAACUCUGAAAAACUCUAAUCCCGGCUACAGGGCUCUCGCCUCCCAGAGAGAUCCUUUACUCCCCUUCUCCUGGGAGAUUUUCUCACCCAGGCUUUACAGAGGCCACAUGUUGUCAGCAAUUUGUGAAUAUGAAUAAUGUGAUUUACAUUCCUUUGAUUUAAUAUAAUGAUUAAGCGUCUUUGUACUCUGUUCCGAUUCACUGAAAUGAAACAAUACAUUUUCUUAAAAAUCCUUUGUCCUUUAUUAGUAAUUUUUCCCCUUCCAAAUGUGCUGGGCUUUGGCAAAUGAAAGAAAGAUAAAUUUUGCUUUGAUUUGGUGGCGCAGAGCGCGUAAGAGGAAAUUAAAACGUUAGCUGGAAGGCGAGAGGGGACGGAACGGGGCAGGAAUUAAGUUAGUUGGAGCAGAUUGCUUUAUGGUUGUAAAUCAGCAGGGUUCUGAUAGAUGUAAGGCAUUCGUCUCUGCAUCCAAAGAGUUAUUUUUGCUUUUCAACAAUUGCACAGGCCUGUUUUCCUCUGGGCAUUUAGAGAUGCCAUAGCCGAUCCUUAAUUAGAUGGAGGGAGCCCUUCUGACUGUAGGUAUAACCUGAUGGGUUCGUUGUGGGCUGAGAUUCGGAAAGGAUCUUCCUGCUUCCUUCUCCCUCCUAACCCCUGGGUGACCCAGAACUCAGUCCUUCGUGAAUUUCUCCUUUAAGAAAAUAUGAAAGCAAAAAAAUGUAAAGAGAGGCUUUAGAACAGCCUCCUAAAAAAGAUUCAAAAGGCCUUAUUGCAAAGGACCCUUUGAAAUGGAGAAAGGGCAAGACUGCAUUGGGAGCCUGGAAAGAAGGACCUCCUGGAUGCUUCCCGGUGAGGCCACCUGUCCUCUGGGCACUGGGAGGAAGGGCAAUGGGAUGUCUGGGGAGUGGGGAGAAUGUUCCAGGGAUAAAUGCUGGCAGGGGAGUUGCAGCAAUGGAUUUAUCAGGGGGGUGGGACACCUCUGCCCCUCUCUUUCUCUCCAUCCCAGCCUCAUCCACCAGAAAGAAGCUGGGCAGGGCUGCAGGUCUGGGUUCCAGCUGGGGCUCCGAGCAUCUGGGCAAGGAGUUUUCUGAAUUCCCUUGUCUGCAAAAUGGGAUUAGCGUUUGGGGCCCUGCACAUCUCAGAGGAUUUUGGUAAGGCUCACACAGACAACGUGGGAAAAUGCUUUGCAAAAUUUAAGCCGUUGACAAAAAUAUCCUCCUCUGAACCUAAGAACGGAGUUCCUGAACCUGGCUUUGCAUGACAUUCUCUCAGGGGGAGCUUUUAAAAUUAUAUCUCGUCCUUUCAGGUUCUAUGGCCAAAUCACAAGGGAUAGGAUCUGAAGUUGGAAGAAAAAAGAAAAAAAGCUAUAGAAAUAGAGGAAUAAAAGCAGUAAUUCUUAGGAUGACAGUGAUUACGAUGAAAAAUACAGCAAUUGCGAUGGACUUGAGAAGAGGUCUGAGGUCUCGCUUGUGUGAAUCCUGUGGAUUAGGGUUGGAACCUGUUCCUUCUCAGGCUCCAGGUUCUCAGGAGCCUUAGGGGACAGGCUUUCUAGGGGAUGGACCUUGACUAUCGAUGCCCAGUCCCUCUUUCAUGAAAGGGAAAGUCAAGGAAAUAAGUCUAUUUUAAGGGUCUUCUCUGCUUGGAAUGGUGUUGGGUCCACUUCAAGCAUUCGAGUGGCCCUGAGGAGUUCCCAGACCACUGGCCCCAGGAAACGGGGAGCUCCUGGCUGGAAUAGGGGGCCCAUCUCUCUGAGCAGAGCUGGAGGUUCUGUCGAGUGACUACAGCUUGGGUUGGUUAGGCUCUCUCCUCACCCUUCGGGGCUGAGCUGGUUUGCCUGCCAUCUUGCAAGGGCUGCAUGGUGUUCAAUCAACUAAUUCUGUUGAAACCUUGGAAGAGGAGACAACGUAUUGUGAUUGAAGUUCCUGAAAUCCCAGGAGGAAAGGAAGCAGAAAUGGGUGGCCUCAAAUUCAGGCUGAAGAUCAAUGCAGUGUUGCGGGGACUAGCCCUGCCAAGCACGCCAUCACAGCAGGCAGCGUGGAGCUUGCAAAUCGGCUCCCACUUCAAUCAAAAGAUCCCAGCAGCCUGGAAGUUUUUGGUCUCUGCUUCUUCUCACUUAUUCCUUAAGGAUCACAGCUGACUGUUUCUAAGGAGCCGCAAACAACAGCCUGUUCAUUUGCUCAUUCGCUCAGGGAUACGUUCAUAUGAAGCAUCGCUCCGAAACCAUUUCUUCUAUGAGGAUUGCAGGGGCCACAGCAGAACAUUUCAAAACAGUUCUCCAAGAACAUUCAGAAACAGGUCUCAAAGGCACACUGAUUAUUUCCAGUUGCUUUAAAAAACAAACAAACAAACAAACAAAAAAACCCAUUUAAAGAGCCAGGGGCUCCAUGAGGAUAUGAAAGUGGGUGAGUGUUUUGAAUGCAAGAGACGGGGACGUAUAAUGGUCCAGAGGAUCUGGCCUGUUUGUUUGUCAUCUCCUCUGAGUCUCGGGGUUCUCCGUAGUUGUAUAUAUUUAAACUUGGUAAUGUGUCGUCAGGUUAGUACAGCGUAUGCUGUCUGGGUCCGUGAUGCUUGUGGUUCCUUUCGAUUUUCUCUGCUCGCUGUCCCGUCUGACUGCCAAACAGCUGUGGACUCUGUUCCUGUCCUUUGAAUCCCAUCACCCAGGCCUCCUAGGCCCCCAUUUCUCACUUGGGGAAAAGUCACGCCUCGUGCUGGCCUUCUCCUCAGCUCUCUUGCCUUUUUGCCUCCAACGUCCUCUUCAUGCCAGACUUGUUCUCAUAGAUGGAAUGGGUGUGUCCCCCUCAAAAUUUAUAUAUCGAAAUGCUAAUUCUCCAUGCGAUGGUGGUUGGAGGUGGGAACUUCGGGAGCUAAUUAAGUCACGAGGGUGGAGCCCUCAGAAAAGGGACCCACGGAGUUCCCACUGUGGCGUGACGGGAGCAGCCAGAACACAGGUUUGAUCCCCAGUCCAGCACAGUGGCUUUAAGG